GACGAACGCUCGCGGCGUGCCUAAUACAUGCAAGUCGAACGAACCGCGACUAGGUGCUUGCAAUUGGUCAAGGUGAGUGGCGAACGGGUGAGUAACACGUGGGUAACCUACCUCAUAGCGGGGGAUAACAGUCGGAAACGACUGCUAAUACCGCAUAGGACAUAGGAUCACAUGACUCUGUGAGGAAAAGUGGCGCCAGCUAUCGCUAAGAGAUGGACCCGCGGUGCAUUAGCUAGGUGGUAGGGUAAAGGCCUACCAAGGCGAUGAUGCAUAGCCGACCUGAGAUGGUGAGCGGGCACACUGGGACUGAGACACGGCCCAAACUCCUACGGGAGGCAGCAGCGGGGAGUCUUCCGCAAUGGACGCAAGGCUGACGGAGCAACGCCGCGUGAGUGAAGAAGGUCUUCGGAUCGUAAAGCUCUGUUGUUAGAGAAGAACAGCGAAUAGAGUAACUGUUAUGCGUGUGACGUUAUCUAAUCAGAAAGCCACGGCUAACUACGUG
RNAcentral lists this ribosomal RNA (502 nucleotides) under uncultured bacterium. Its description in RNAcentral is "partial 16S ribosomal RNA". It matches the Rfam family "Bacterial small subunit ribosomal RNA", at positions 28 to 507 of the family's 1533-position model. The record is from RNAcentral.